Long non-coding RNA from Peromyscus californicus insignis, 6730 nucleotides. RefSeq lists it as uncharacterized. The record is from RefSeq and is a predicted model, not a curated record. The transcript is spliced from 3 exons. NCBI's taxonomy places the organism in Eukaryota, Metazoa, Chordata, Mammalia, Rodentia, Cricetidae.
AUUCCUUCUUUUAAAAAGCCAACCAACCAACCCAUCAAACAAACAAGAAAAAAACACCAAAUCCCAGGGCAGAGCUGGUGAAAAUUAAUCUAAAAUAAAGAAACAAAGUGAGAGGAUCAUGUGAUGAGCCCCCUUUCCAGUCAGAAGAUCUCUUUGUCCACUGAUCACAGAGUGUUCCCUUGGGUCUUGGGAACUGUCUACGGUCAGAGCAGGCAGGCGGUCUCACACGGCUCACAAGGGGCAGGAGAAAGACAGGUUCAGCUUAGAGCUGUGCCUUGUGCCUCUGCUGCUUUGUGCACAUGGUGAAGUCUCGCUCUUGAGGAUUAGGGACCCCAGAGUCCUGCAAUUACUCCCAGCACUUUGCUGUUUAUGUGCUCCAGAAUGACAUGAUAUCUGAUGACCGAUCUUAGGGUCCUGGCAUACCAGGGCUUAGUGCUGCUGCCGGUGCCGUAGCUUGCAAGUCCAGGGAGGCCUGACUGCUGCCCAGCCUCUCCCAGCCUGCAGCUAGCCACUGUGACUGUCUUACUGGUGUCGGUGCCGUAGCUUGCAAGUCCAGGGAGGCCUGACUGCUGCCCAGCCUCUCCCAGCCUGCAGCUAGCCACUGUGACUGUCUUACUGGUGUCAGGAAGGAAGCAAGUCUAGAUGUCCUUGGCAAGCCUUGAACCUGCACCUCAGACCUCCCACUCAAUAAGCUCAGGCUACAGCUACUCGGGUGAAAGGUUCCUGAUAGCCUAGACUGUGAGAUGUCCGGAGAACCACAGUUCUGACAGAAGGACACCCCCUGUGCACCCUCCAGACUCUAACACUUCUACACAGUGAUUGCACACUUUCUGCUGCAUCCACAGAUUUCCAAGGGCUUUAGUGUCACUGUCCCUAGAAGGGAGACGUUAUUGCCUCUGGAGAAGCAGCUCACAUUGCCUGGUGACACCGGAAAGGGCAACAAGCUGGGCUUCGAGGAGCCAGAGGGAUGCAGAUGUGAGCUCAGGCCAGCGGAUGCCACGGGGUGAGGGAGCACAAGCCAGCCUGAAAACUUGCACCUCACAGAGGAAGGGCUUAUUCAUCCACACUGCAAACACAGGCUUCAAAUGUUUGCCCCGCUGGAAUGUAAGAGUAGUGGAGGUUACAGUGAUGCUUCACACUUCUUAUCCCCAGUUAUGCUGGGACAAAUCAAAAAGAUUGGGUAAUGGUUCAGACCAGAGCAAAGAUAACAAUGACAGUCCCACACAACACAGACAGACACUUCUUUCACUUAAUGUCUCCCCAGAAACUUCCUAGAAGAACACCACUGUCUUAGAUGAUACAGAAAAAACAGAUUGCCAUUCUGAUCGGUUUGGUUGGCAGGAGUGAAGGCAGGUAGAAAUACACCAAAUCUGCAAAAACAGUCUUCCAACUGUGACACAUAUUAAUUUAUUCCAUAAAGUGAACUUACAAUGGUUUAUAAAACCGAAUAUAAUUAGGUGAUUUGUCCCCCCAUGGUGGACCCCUUUCCAUCACAUUGUGAACUAGAUUUAAGUCCAUUUAAAGUCUGACUCAUAAAGUGGCUGGUUAUUCAAAAUGUCAAACAUAUGGAACACAUUCAUGAACAUUGUUCCAAACAGUAUUUACAGUGUGGAGAGAAUAUUUAUCAUCAAGAGAGAAGCAUUGCAAAGACUCUCGUCAUAAUUUUGAAGAAAGCAUAAAUAAUAUCAGAAAGCAUAAAUAAUACCAUUAUCAUCAUCAUCAUUAAAGACUGACAUGGUGCAUCCUGAGACGAGAGGGUACAGUCAGGAAUGGCCACGGCAUGGAGAACAUGAGGGGCUGUCCGGAGGAGAGGGUCCCUGAGUUGAACUGGAAGAGAAGGAGUGAAAGAAGAUGUGGGGGUUGGCAGAGGCGGGUGUGGCUGCUGUUCGAUGGAGGUGUGUGGAAAAAAAAAUGGUCCUAAACAAAGUCAGAAGGGGACCAGGAAACAAGGUCCCAAAAGAGUCAGGCCAAGCUAUAGGACAGGGGAUGCUGUAUGAUAAGGCUGAUGGCUAAGAGCAAGUGUAGCCUUAGGAAUGAAGUCAAUGUCCGAGGAGUCCAUCUUGAGUGGGAAGAAUGCCCCAGGGUGCCUCCGGCCAUUCUCUGUGUCCUUCUUCCUCCCAAAUGACAUUGCUUCUCAGUAUCAGCUCGUGGUCUCUCACAUAGUUAGGGAGAACUUGGCAGGCUCUAUUUGCCUCGGACGGUCGAACCUGCAGCACCCUCUGCCCCAGAGACACCUGGGAAAUAACGUUGGUGAUGCAUGGCUGUGACAGCCUUGAUACAGCUCCUGCUAGACAAAGAUCCAUGUAUCAACCACUGGUAAAUAGCGCCUUUUGUUGUGUCCAAAAGGUCAAGGACUGAAUGGGUCACAGGACAGGCACAUUUUCCCGAUGGAGCUGAGGGAGUUUGGGAAGUCUGCGCACAAUGGGGAACUCAACACACCCUGUUUUUCACUCCCUUUCAGAACGCAGCAGCGACAAGCAACACUUUAUUCCAUGUUCUUACUUCCUAAAAAGUAUUUAACUGGAGGAGUAGCUCAGUGGCUUCUUUCUGUUUUGCACUGUGUAGCAACCCCAAUGAUAAAAGGACAGAGCAGAAUAGAAGUUGUUUGUUCAGAAGGCAGUUGGAGUUGCACUGUUUUGUGGUUGCAGAAUGUGUAUCAUGGGGGCAGAGGAAGACCAAAAGGCAAAACAAAAAUCAAGAGCCUGCGACUUGUUUUGCAUGCUGCAAUGACGACAGGGCAGGUUAAUGUCGCACUGUGUUGAUGGGCAGGUGCUGAUGUGAUCUCCAUUUUGAAACUGCACUGUUCUCAGUGUCUUGAGAAGCAGGAAUGGAGGUGACUCCUUUGAGCUCCCUGCUUUAAAUGCAGACAAUGCCACUGGAAAAUAUAUUUGUGAGGAUAGGACACUUAAAACAACAAUAACAACAACAACAUCCACCAGGUGGUUAUUUACAAUUGUCAGUUCUGGUUAGGAAGAUGGAGUUUCAGUGUAGGAAGCGGGGAGUCUGUGUUCAGAUGGCUUGGAAGGGACACUGAUGAUGGAAAAGAUAACUUUCAUUUAUAGCUAAACAGGUAGGGCACAUAUGGAGGGCAUAAGCCAGACUUUGUGCCCCGUGAGAAUGACAUGCAAAUAGUUGAACAAGGGAUGGGGAAUGUUCUUAGAGAUGCUGGCAUGCAGGAGGCAGGCGACGACCUCCUUAAGGUAGUUCCCAGUUCCAAGUUAUUUGAACUGCGUUUAGCACUUUGAAUGUUGACUCUUUGGUUAUCUGAGCAAUCUGCUUCAGGAUUAAAGGCAUUCAAAAGCCCUCUCCUCGCUAAUCCCUUUGAAAUGAUCUUGCCCCGGAUUCUACCUCUCGGAUUCUACCUCUCGUUCUUCUUCAGGUCAGAACAAGACAGGUGUGUACUUCCUAUGUGCUCACGGAUGGCAUCUUCCUGGUGAAAGAACUCAGUUUGUGCCUGAGGAGCGGCUAACCCUUCACGGAGGGCCACGGCAAAGGGCAGUUACGUAAGACACAUUUACAUUUCACACAGAUAUCUGCAACUUGGUGGACGCUGGCCAGCAGCAGACGGGGAUCACGCAGAAUUUUGAUAAAAUACCUCCAGUGUGAUUUUAACUUCUAGAUGGUAGGAACCUCAUUCUUUUGUUUUAUUUAGUUGCCACUAUUACACACACACAAAGGAGCACAAUCAGAAGCAAGACGUUCAAGGCAGGAAGGAAGGCCAGCUUUGCUGGAGCGAGCACGUUCUUCUGAAGCCAGGUUUGGGAUCGCCUUUGAAGCCUUGCUCCUUGGGCCUGAGCCCACCCUUGGCCUUGGCGGCGACGGCAGCUACUGUUACAGGGUGUUCUUUGUGCACAGGGAAAGCUCUGCUGGGCCUGGCAGGACGAAGGGACAUGAGAAGACAUCGGGCCCUUGCCCGGGGUUGGGGUGUGUGUGGGGUGGGGGGAGCUCACCAGCUGGGUGAGGAACUCUCCUAGGGCUGCUCUUCGUACAGGACAGAUGAACCAGCCCCCGUGGGAACACACGCCACUCGUGAACCCCGACCUCACUGUCUUCUGGUUGGUGUCCUUUUGCCGUCCACUGGAUGUGUGCUCUGAGAGAACUCUGCCCCGCUUGUUUUCGCUGGGUGCCCAAGGGAAAAGCCAUGAGGAUGUGUGGAUGGCUACCUGGCUGAGAGAGAGUUCGAUUCAGAUUUGGGUUUGUCUGCUUUGCAUGCUGUUUUUGGAAAUACUCUGUAAUGGUGAAUGGAAAGAGUCUCGUGAACAGUCACAGCCCCCGUUACCCGGAAAUAAAAGCCUUCUUUAGGUCAGGACAAACGUACAGGACCCAAAUAGAGGCUUGCUCCAGGUCUUUCACCAACACACCAAAGGCACGAACUCUGUCAGCUCUUUCUGGCACGACUAAGGUAAUGAACAGCCCCACCCUAGGGAAGGAGCUCCCUUCACCUUCGGUAACUCUGACACGUCACGGCCUGAGGCUGCAGCAGUGUGGCCCUCAGGAGGGGACAAGAUGGCCUGGCUGGGAGCAGUGUCACCGGAGAAGAUGACAAAGGCAUCGCCUGCCCACCUCCCCCUUUGGGCCUGCAAUGGCCAGUCAGGCGAUGCCUCACACUCUGUGAGGGUCAGGAGAAGAAGGUGGGGGGCGCAGGGGUGGCGAGAAGGCUCACUGGCCACCAAUCCCCCGAUGACCUGAGUUCAGUUCCUGGGAUCCGCAGGAUGCAAAGAGAGAACUGACUUCCACAAGCUGUCCUCUGACCUCCACGGCACACAUUUACCUUCACACGUCAAAAAACUAAAAUUGAAAAUAAAAAUAAACAUAAUAAAAAUGCUAAAAGGAAACAAGAACAAAAUUCUGGAUGAGGGCAGGUGGCGAUGAUACCUAGACUCUUGUUCCCCAAUCUCUCCUUGCCCAACUUGCUAACUUGUAGAAAUUUCUGGAUUUAUAUAACUCAAGCCUAAUAAUGAAGGAGAUUGGUGUUGCCUUCCAAGCACUGGGUAGCCCUUUAAGUAACUGAAGAAAUCAGAAGUAUACCAGGGAUAGAGAGAGGAGUAAGCACGCAGAUCCAAGCUGGCCUUCGCCCUGGGCAGCACCAGUCACAGAGGCAGACUGGCUCUCGCACAGCAGAGGCUGAAAGGCAGCUGCAAAGUGAGCUUUGAAAUACAGAGUGCUUGAACGUGUCCCCAGGCCAAAUCCAGAUCGAAGCUUUCCCCAGGGAGGGCGUGUUCAUCAACAUGAAGCAAACUGCCAGAGUGCCCUCGAACACCGAGGCCCCGAGUGGCAUACUCGGUGUCCAGCAAGGACUCCCAUCCGCUGUGGCUGGGUGAGCUUGCUGAAGUGACGCGAAGCAGAAUUUAAAAUGCACCAGCAGAACAAAUGCAACUGAUUCUGGAUCAGAAAAGGCAUUCAUCCGGUUCUCAACCAACUCAAAAGUCCCUGUGACCUGUCUGGAUGUGGUGGCAUGCACCUGUAAUUCCAGUGCUCAAGAAAUAGAGGGGGAGACAGCAGGAUUAUGAGUUCAAGGCCAGUCUAGGCAAUAGUGAAAUCCAAUAAAAGAAAAAGACAAAGACUUGUGAUUUCACUUCUUUGUUUGUUUGUUUCUUGUGGCACCAGCCACAGUUAAAGGAGCUGCCCUCCUCCUUUAGUGGCUUGAGGUGACGUCAUCAGGAGAUGAAGAGCGCCCAGGGCCCAGGUGCAGGCCUCUGCAGGAGAAUGCACAGCACCCUUCAGCACUAUGGAAAAACUAGCCAACAGAGAUGAAGCAUCCUGGCACUUGGAAGGAACUGAUCUUUACCCCUUUAAUCAUGGCUAUGUGUCAUCCCUUUGGGAACUCUCAUUGUUUCUGUGCCAGAGGCCACACCCAGGCACUGCUUCUUCCACAGACUUUGCAUCCCGUUGGAGACUGUACCCUGAAGGAUGACUCUGCAAUGGAUAUUUCCAAAGUCUUGGUUUGGGGUGUAUGAAUCAAAGCUGGGAUAGUUUUGCAACCAAAAACUUUUAAUAACCAAAGCAGCUGGCAUGCUGCAGAUGCCCAAGGGCUUAAAUCCUUCAAUCUUCUCAGAUCUUGUUGACAUUAAUGAAAUUCACAAGGUCUCUUUCCUCUGAAGAUAAAAGCUUUGAAGCAAACCCUGGGUGCCCAGCUGGGGGUCCCACUCUCUGCCUGUCCCUGACACUGAAGCUGGGUGUCCCACUCUCUGCCUCUCCCUGACUCCAAAGCUGGGGACAAAAGCGGGAGGCUGCUGAGUGUGUGCUGAGUAGUCGCCGGUCACUUGUGGAACUGAAACCACCAUGGGUCUUGGCCAACAGCCAGUUCAAUACCUAAAUCUUCCUCCCCUAGACAACAGAUGUUUCUAAACAACUGUCAUUAAGCACAGGCUUAAUUCUUGAAGUUCUGGUGUAUGGGAGAGGGCACUAGGCCCAAGCAACACAGUCUAGGAAAAUGCCUCCGUAAUUGGGGACAUGGGGAGAAUCUGAGAGGAGUUCUGGAGAAGGGGAAAACAUGAUCAGAAUAUACUGUAUGAAAAAAAUUUUUUUCAAUUAAAAAUAAAAUUAUCAGUAACUUUGCAGCUGUUUACUCCAGAGAAGGCUGCUUUUCUUCAACCUUACUCACUGCCUGUGUUUAAAAAGGGAUGGGCCUUUUGUCUUUUCAUCCUAAUACUGCUCUUUACAUUUCAGCAGGAUUUUGGAGAAGCACUGUGAAAUGACCAUUAUUCAACAGACAGCUCCUAUGAUCACA